CCUACGGGAGGCAGCAGUGGGGGAUAUUGGACAAUGGGGGAAACCCUGAUCCAGCGACGCCGCGUGAGGGAAGAAGUAUUUCGGUAGGUAAAGCUCUGUCAGCAGGGAAGAAAGAAAUGACGGUACUUGACCAAGAAGCCCCGGCUAACUACGUGCCAGCAGCCGCGGUAAUACGUAGGGGGCAAGCGUGAUCCGGAAUUACUGGGUGUAAAGGGAGCGUAGACGGUGAUGCAAGUCUGGAGUGAAAGGCGGGGGCCCAACCCCCGGACUGCUCUGGAAACUGUGUAACUUGAGUGCAGGAGAGGUAAGCGGAAUUCCUAGUGUAGCGGUGAAAUGCGUAGAUAUUAGGAGGAACACCAGUGGCGAAGGCGGCUUACUGGACUGUAACUGACGUUGAGGCUCGAAAGCGUGGGGAGCAAACAGGAUUAGAUACCCUUGUAGUC
RNAcentral lists this ribosomal RNA (443 nucleotides) under uncultured bacterium. RNAcentral's name for it is "partial 16S ribosomal RNA". It matches the Rfam family "Bacterial small subunit ribosomal RNA", at positions 338 to 795 of the family's 1533-position model. The record is from RNAcentral.